This 81-nucleotide small RNA is filed under the name Flavobacterium xanthum. RNAcentral describes it as "Flavo-1 RNA". It matches the Rfam family "Flavo-1 RNA". The record is from RNAcentral. Lineage: Bacteria; Pseudomonadati; Bacteroidota; Flavobacteriia; Flavobacteriales; Flavobacteriaceae.
CCCUAGCCCCGAUUGAAACGGAAAUCCUUGUUGUUUUUGCUGCCAAAAACAACAAGAUUGCAGAGUAAAGCGGGAAAUAGC